Rhopalosiphum maidis (corn leaf aphid) is the source of this 368-nucleotide long non-coding RNA. RefSeq lists it as uncharacterized. The transcript has 4 exons. NCBI's taxonomy places the organism in Eukaryota, Metazoa, Arthropoda, Insecta, Hemiptera, Aphididae. The record is from RefSeq and is a predicted model, not a curated record.
AGAUUGCCCGCUGUCUUGAUAACCGGACUGAAGUAGAUAUUGAUACAAUUUUAUUCAUUUUUCGGAUGUUUCAUGUGAUUAUUGUUUCAUAUUAGAUUUUGAAUUUUUAUUAGCCAUUGGCCAUCUACUGUGAAGUGUGAAAUUGUGUUGUAUUAAACUGUAUCAUUGCAGCUGCAUUUUAAAAAAGCUGUACAUCUUCUCAACAAUAUGGGCACUUUAUCUACAAUUAUUUCCUUUGGUCUGGGUAUCUAUACAGGGUUAUACGCAGCACAAAACUAUGAAGUAGCUAAGGUUGAUGAUCCUGGAGUAAUUAUAGAAAAAAUGAAAAAGUAUUUAGAAGAAGUAAUGAAGCCCAAAUCAUAAAUUAC